Molecule: ribosomal RNA, 301 nt
Filed under: uncultured bacterium
Lineage: Bacteria
Description: partial 16S ribosomal RNA
Rfam family: Bacterial small subunit ribosomal RNA
Source: RNAcentral
CAGCAGCCACGGUAAUACGGGGGGGGCAAGUGUUAUUCGGAAUGACUGGGCGUAAAGGGCACGUAGGCGGUGAAAAGGGUGGAAAGUGAAAGUCGCCAAAACACUGGCGGGGUGCUUUCUUGACCAUUUCACUUGAGUGAGAUAGGGGAGAGUGGAAUUUCGUGUGGAGGGAUCAAAUCCUAAGAUAUACGAAGGAACGCCAACCGCGAAGGCAGCUCUCUGGGUCCCCACUGACGCUGGGGUGCGAAAGCAUGGGGAGCAAACAGGAUCAGAUACCCCAGUAGUCCCUGUCUCUUAUACA